AUUGAACGCUGGCGGCAGGCUUAACACAUGCAAGUCGAACGAGUGGCGGACGGGUGAGUAAUGCUUGGGAAUCUAGCUUAUGGAGGGGGAUAACUACGGGAAACUGUAGCUAAUACCGCGUACCAUAGGAUGAGCCCAAGUGGGAUUAGGUAGUUGGUGAGGUAAAGGCUCACCAAGCCGACGAUCUCUAGCUGGUCUGAGAGGAUGACCAGCAAAACUGGAAUUGAACCAGGGCCCAAACUCCGACAGGAGGCAGCAGUGGGGAAUAUUGCGCAAUGGGGGAACCUGACGCAGCCAUGCCGCGUGAAUGAAGAAGGCCUUCGGGUUGUAAAGUACUUUCGGUAGCGAGGCGUUAACUACAGAAGAAGCACCGGCUAACUCCGUGCCAGCCGCCGCGGUAAUUC
Molecule: ribosomal RNA, 404 nt
Filed under: uncultured bacterium
Lineage: Bacteria
Description: partial 16S ribosomal RNA
Rfam family: Bacterial small subunit ribosomal RNA
Source: RNAcentral